This 432-nucleotide ribosomal RNA is filed under the name uncultured bacterium. RNAcentral describes it as "partial 16S ribosomal RNA". It matches the Rfam family "Bacterial small subunit ribosomal RNA", at positions 29 to 506 of the family's 1533-position model. The record is from RNAcentral.
AACGAACGCUGGCGGCAGGCCUAACACAUGCAAGUCGGGCGAGGACUUCGGUUCUAGCGGCGGACGGGUGAGUAACGCGUGGGAAUGUGCCCUUCUCUACGGAAUAGCCCUGGGAAACUGGGAGUAAUACCGUAUACGCCCUAUUGGGGAAAGAUUUAUCGGAGAAGGAUCAGCCCGCGUUGGAUUAGGUAGUUGGUGGGGUAAUGGCCUACCAAGCCGACGAUCCAUAGCUGGUUUGAGAGGAUGAUCAGCCACACUGGGACUGAGACACGGCCCAGACUCCUACGGGAGGCAGCAGUGGGGAAUCUUAGACAAUGGGGGCAACCCUGAUCUAGCCAUGCCGCGUGAGUGAUGAAGGCCUUAGGGUUGUAAAGCUCUUUCAGCUGGGAAGAUAAUGACGGUACCAGCAGAAGAAGCCCCGGCUAACUCCGU